ACGGGAGGCAGCAGUGAGGAAUAUUGGUCAAUGGCCGAGAGGCUGAACCAGCCAAGUCGCGUGAAGGAAGAAGGAUCUAUGGUUUGUAAACUUCUUUUAUAGGGGAAUAAAGUGGAGGACGUGUCCUUUUUUGUAUGUACCCUAUGAAUAAGCAUCGGCUAACUCCGUGCCAGCAGCCGCGGUAAUACGGAGGAUGCGAGCGUUAUCCGGAUUUAUUGGGUUUAAAGGGUGCGUAGGUGGUGAUUUAAGUCAGCGGUGAAAGUUUGUGGCUCAACCAUAAAAUUGCCGUUGAAACUGGGUUACUUGAGUGUGUUUGAGGUAGGCGGAAUGCGUGGUGUAGCGGUGAAAUGCAUAGAUAUCACGCAGAACUCCGAUUGCGAAGGCAGCUUACUAAACCAUAACUGACACUGAAGCACGAAAGCGUGGGGAUCAAACAGGAUUAGAUACCCUGGUA
This 454-nucleotide ribosomal RNA is filed under the name uncultured Porphyromonadaceae bacterium. Its description in RNAcentral is "bacterial SSU rRNA". It matches the Rfam family "Bacterial small subunit ribosomal RNA", at positions 341 to 792 of the family's 1533-position model. Lineage: Bacteria; Pseudomonadati; Bacteroidota; Bacteroidia; Bacteroidales; Porphyromonadaceae. RNAcentral also lists the same sequence under 1 other name. The record is from RNAcentral.